UGUCUUGGCCUACCAGAACUCAAAACUCUCAGGCUAGCUUGGCUUUGUAAACAAUAGUCAGCCACAGCUUUUUUGAUUAUCCAGCACCACUCCAAGAAUCAACUGGCUUUGAGGGUAUUUAUUCUUUCUAUGUUUGGUUUGGUUUUUUUUCUUCUAUUUUGACUUCCCUUCUCUUUUUGAUUGCCUUUCUCUGAUUUACUUUCUGGUCAUGUGCAGAAGAAAGAAAUUGAGAAUUGAGGGAAACCUGCUCCAAGAUAUAGGCAUGCAUCAUUGUGUCAUCAUUAAAUGUUCCAGUUAAUAGUUUGCAAGGUUCUGGACUAAAGAGAUACUUAAAGGCAAGCAUAGCGUCUUCACAGCACGAAAAAGGCAGGGAGCAGCUGAACUGGAAUAAAUGCAGGAAUAACAUCUUCUUAAAGCUGUUACUCAAGCUCCUCAGGAGUGAUCGGGGACUUCUCUGCAGGAGUGUUACUGUGGAAUUUGAGCUCAUUUGUUGUGCAUUAGCUGCUACAUCUGAAUAAUCACAUUUUGACUGAAUACCAGGAAAAUACCCUCGAAGUCCUAGAAUAUUCUGUGCCUGGGGAGAAAAAAUUUGCCAUGAAGAGAUGGUGAUUCAGGAUUCACUGUUGCUAAGAAGCCAGGUUUCCUCAGUGCUUGCUAGUGGCUACUGAGAGAAGAGAACUCCAGGACUGCUCCACUGGAAGCUCUUUGCAGCCUUUGCCCAUUGAAAUUACAGAGCUUUGCUUUCCUAAGCCAUCUAAUUAUAGUGAACCGUCACCAUUAUCCUCACUCAGAGACAAUCUGUCUCAUUCAUAAUAUCACAUCUUCCUAUAUCACACUGCUCUCUUGACCGUGGUGAUAAAUGCUCAGAGUCCAGAUUUACUAUCAGUAACUCUUGGGAACAUAUUUAAGUUAUACUGACACACUGCCUCAGUUUUGCUGGAGUGCUGCAUUCAAAAAGCUUCCCAAAAUAGGUGUGGAUGUUUUCAACAAAGACCAAGA
This is a long non-coding RNA of Neopsephotus bourkii (Bourke's parrot), 999 nucleotides long. RefSeq lists it as uncharacterized. The transcript is spliced from 4 exons. The record is from RefSeq and is a predicted model, not a curated record. NCBI's taxonomy places the organism in Eukaryota, Metazoa, Chordata, Aves, Psittaciformes, Psittacidae.